GGAACAUGCAAGAUGUCAGGUGAAACGUGGGUGGAAAGAAUGCUGCAGGGCUUUGUCAGCUGUGUGAACCCCAAAACCCCAACUACUCAGCGCAGAAAUUUAUCAUCAAACUUCCACAUGUGAGGGUUUAUGAUAGCAUGAUUGAGCUUCCUCUAAUAUAGACUAACUCCACUCAGAUAUGUUGACACCAGAAUUUUGAUGAGACUGGAUUCUCGAUUCACCAAAUUCCUUCUGGGUUCUUGUUUUGCAAAUUUGAAGAAUAAAAUCUACUGACAUUAAACAGAGUGGGACUUAUUUAAUAAGAAAGAGAACUCCCACAAUGUGGUAGGGGCCUGAGAACAUGAAAACCCAUGUUGGUGUUCGAGCUUAAAGGGUUUAUAAGAUUUAGGUCUGAGCACUGACGGAAGUCUAUGUUAAACAGGCAUUGAAAAAGUACCAAGGUUAUUGGUUGUAUUCUUUAGCCUGAGUUUUAAUCCUUCCUUUAACUGGAGUCUGGGUUUACUCCUACCUUCGGUUUUCCGCCUCUCUGGGACAAACGAGUUGGUUAGUGUUCCCAUAGAUAAGCCUCACGGUAUUUUACCUUUGAAAAAGGACUUGACUCAUUAACAUUUCUACAGGUUAGUCUCCCAGAGUGCUCUCUGUCUUUGAAUAAUUGGAACUCAUUGCCUGACUGCUAUCUGUUCUUAUUCAAUGUCAUAGGGUACCCAGAAAGUUCCAUCAACAACCUUGCUAGGAUUUAUAUAACUUCUAAAG
RNAcentral lists this long non-coding RNA (753 nucleotides) under Marmota monax (woodchuck). Lineage: Eukaryota; Metazoa; Chordata; Mammalia; Rodentia; Sciuridae. The record is from RNAcentral.